UACACACCAAUUUAUUACACUAUGAAAUGAUAACUUUUCCCCCUUUUUCUUCUCCCUUUUAGGGUUUUCUCAAAUUCAUAUCGCCGCAUGGAUCUGCAAUUUUGUAGAUCUAACAGUUACUUGCUGAGCAGAAGAGCUGAGAAAAUUGCAGUGAAUGUGCUUCAAUUCCAAACCGAAGGCAAGGAUUAUGUUAAUUUCAGCUCUUCUGCACCACCUGUUGGAAUUGGAGCUAAAGAUGAAGAGCAAAAGAUGUUGCAAAGUAAUGCAACGGUUUGGCUGGUUGCACGAGCAUUAAAUUCAUCACAAAUUUCAUAAGCAAGAAGCUAUGAAUUUUUGGAAAGUGAGGAAACUAGGUACCUCUUUUUGCUUUGUUCUUUGUUCGACUAAAAUAGUAAUAUUUGACGAGAUAGGUCAUCUCUUAGAAGUUGAAAGAUGGUUUCUUGUUAUCGUUGUCGAAGUUUCACUAACAUUAUAUCAUCUGAUAUGUGGCAAGCAUGUUUUGUGCUAAAUCACAUUGAGAAUUUGAAGAAUUUUCAAAAAGAACUUAUUACGAACAAUACAGUCACAUGUCAAUUGUUUCAAAAGAUUAUUGGUGAACUUAUCAUUUAAAAACUCUCAACAUCAAAAAUUAUGUUGCAGAGAAGAUAGGAAAAUUGACCAAUCUAAUAUGUUAAGAAAUUUGGAAUGAGGAAAAUUGAUCAAUCUAAUAUGUCAGAGUUUUGGAAUGAGGCAACAACAAUUUCAGGAGGGUCUUAUCAAGACUAGUUUCAUUGAAGGAACUAUGUAUUAUGAAAGUAGAAUUGGAAUUCUAAUCAUAAUUGACUACACCAACAUCAAUCGGAUGUUUUGGAGAUGUGAUUCACAGUAACUUGGGCCUUUGUUCCAAGUUAACACGAUACGCUUUAAAAGUAAACCAAGGUGUGUUUACCCUGUGUUUUGCCAAUGAAUACUUAUGAAAGGAAUAUGGAUCUCUCAGUCAUUGAGACCACCUCAUUGGGUGAUUGGAUCUGCCUCCUGUAGAGAAACAGUGAACGUCUACUUUCAAGCGGAAAUGGCUCAAAGAAUGUGCCACCUGAGUUGCUACUGGAUGGAUUUCAAUAAUUGAAAGAAUUGCAUCUAGAUGGUUGUGAUUCCCUAAUACAUUUGUUAAAGAUCCACCGUCAACAAAAUAUUAUGUUCCCCAAACUCAACGGUUACGUGUAAAUCAUUGUGAUAGUAUACAAUAUCUUUACUUGUCUGUCUUCAACUAGGAGUUCGUUGAAACUUGAAGACUUGAGAGUAGCUUGCCUUGAUGACAAGGAAGAGCAUUUUAAAUAGCUCUUCACUUCAUGUUAUCUUUGAUAUAGGAUGAGAUAUUGUCCCCUUUUUUCUAUUUGUCCGAGCCUGGAACAGAUAGAUCUCGUUGGGGAUGAUAGCAUAACUACUUAAUGCUCUCACCAACUUCCGAUAGACUACAUCAACAAACUUGAAAUAUUGGAAGUAAUCGAGUGUGGUAAACUGAGAAACUACAAAAAUGAAGUUGUCCGUUGAUGGAAGAAGUGAUCACGGAAGAGAACAACUAGGAGAAGAAAUGACUAACGGGUCCUUAUAUAACCAACCUCGGUUAGAAGAAAUGACUACCAAUCUCUUCUUCCAGGAACAAAAAGUUAGUGAUGAUGAUGAAUCUGAAGCUGGAAAUAAGUAAUGUCUAUUGUCUAUCAAAUCUAAAACUAGCGGGUAUUCCUCCCAUGGUAGCUAGUCUCAGAUGUUCUUCGAGUACACGAAAUAUAUGAUCGUUUUUCAAGGUAUAUAUACAAAUAUACAUAAUUUGUUCCGCCUCUGUAAUAAUAUCUAAGGAGAAUAAUGCAAAUAUCCUUUCAUUUUCUCA
Solanum tuberosum (potato) is the source of this 1867-nucleotide long non-coding RNA. RefSeq lists it as uncharacterized. Lineage: Eukaryota; Viridiplantae; Streptophyta; Magnoliopsida; Solanales; Solanaceae. The record is from RefSeq and is a predicted model, not a curated record. The transcript has 2 exons.